Molecule: non-coding RNA, 4179 nt
Organism: Podarcis lilfordi (Lilford's wall lizard)
Lineage: Eukaryota; Metazoa; Chordata; Lepidosauria; Squamata; Lacertidae
Source: the annotation of a GenBank genome assembly
ACACACACACACACACACACACACACACCCUUCUUAUCAAAAGGGCAUGACUCAGUAAAAUAAAGCAACAAGCCUUUGUGCACUGAGAUCUGAACUCCUUGAAUAAUGUCCCCUACAGUGUGUGCUCGGCAUUAAGAAGAUUCAUAAGCCCUUUCCCGAAAUUGCUCCUCCCAUUUUGAGUAGGUAGCUGUAGCACCACAGAAUGGAAAGAGUGUUUCUCUGUCCUCAGUGCUUCCCUCACUGGCAGCCAGUGAGUAAACAGCCUGGCUCAAAUACAGGAACUGCAGACAAAGAAACUUUGUGGUAGCAAAUGGGUAAGGGUUGUAGCAGGUGGGGGUGGGGAAGAGAAGGUGUAAGAUUACACAACUUGGAUUGCUACCAGAGGGGACCUAUUUUCGCCACCUUAUUGUUAGUUUUUGCCUCUCAAUUUGCAUUUCUCUUUCUUUUGCCUUCAUGGUGGAACACGGGAAUGCAGGUGGUCAGGCCACUUAGGGCUUUACAGGGCAGCUGCAGCAGCACUCUGAAAUAAGCUUUGGAAGGGGUAGAUCUGCACCACACAUUUAAAGUACAUGACUUCCCCCAAAGAAUACUAGGAACUGUAAUUUGUUAAGGAUGUCAGGGAUUGUAGCGCUGUGAGGUGGGGUAUCCUGAGCCCCGGACCUGCCUGGCGGCAAGUCAGUAUGUCAAGUCCAAAACUCAACAGUCAGGAAUCAGGGUCCAGGGUCAAUCCACAUCAGCAAAGUCCAGAAUAUGCAGUCCAAGGUCAACAGUAAUCAGGAAACCCAGUCCAAAGUCAACCCCAAAGCACAGUCCCAUGGUUGUCCAGGGGCAUUCAAGCCAAGGUCCAUCAACCUGAGCAGUUGAGCAGACACAGCCCCUCAGCUCUGCUUCCCUUUUAUACUUUGCCUGCUGAUUACAGCAUCUGGGCUUGACGAGGUAUGCGGCCCUCACCUGUUCAGAGUCUACUCCAGCUGAGGAAUCACACACCGCCUCCCAGAGCUAACUAGCCCCACUUGGCCACUUAGGGAGCUGUGAGUCCUUGCCUGCCUCAGCCUCCUAGAGCACCCCUUCCACUGCUCCCUAUGACUCAGAGCCUGCCGUGUUUAUGGAGAAAGGGGCCCUUCUGGCUCUGGUGAUGGCUUCUGCUGCUUCCUGUACACUGACUGCCAUCCCCUCACUAUCCUCCAUCACCCUGUGAGUACUUCCUUCUCCAUCCCCAGUUUGCCCCGGUGUCUCCCAGUCCCAAAUUCACCCUCGAUUGGAUCCUCUUCAUCCUUCCUGUAAUCCUGCCAGUUCACGACACGGUUUCCAGAAUUCAAUUGGGGGGGGGGGGAGUCAUGUGCUUUGAAUGUGCAAUUGCGUGUUCUUCAGAUGUAUGACAUGGAUCUUCCAAAAGACUAAUCUCAUAGGCCUCUAAGACAAAUGGGUCAGAAAUUGUAAGAUGUUUAUGUGUUGACAAAAUGAAAAUUAGUAAUGCCAGCUAAAUAUAAAAGUUAUGGCUUUUGAACCUACUACUGCUACUACUACUACACAUACAUGCAUGUGGCAUUCUGGGCUGGUUUUUGUUACCUGCUGGCUGUAUCUUUUCGAUCGAGCCGCUGACAGUUUUGGUUGACCACACCACUUCACUGUUGAAAGUUAAUACUGUUUGACUCAUUCUGUGCUGUUUGCAUCAAGCCAAAGAAAACAAGGGGAAGAAUAAUCUGCCUGUGUGCAGUUUGGAAACUUCUCAGAGACUCUGCAUGCAAAGCACUAUAUAGUAGCUUACUAUAUCUCUUUGCAAGCUGCAGAGGAAAAGGAGGAAGCAAACAGCAUAGCAUGCGUAAGACUAUGCAGCACCAUGGACGACAUGAGAGGGUGCAGGGAACUGCAAGAAUACUUGUAUGUAACAAACUGUUAGUACAAUGGAGAGACUGUUAAGGAAGUUAAAGGGGGGGGAAUACUAAGCCAUUCCAGUUUUGACAUGCAGAGAUGUUUAUUUCAGAGGCAGGGGGAGUUGCUCAUUUUAUCACAAGUGGGUUAUUUUGGUUCACGUUGUAAGAGUAAACAUUCAAGCAAGGGAAAAUCCACUUUUCCUUCCACCACCCCAUUUGUUAAGCAAAGUUUUGAUGACUCAGGGCAUGAGCAAUGGCAUAGAGGGCCUUUUCAUUGGUAGAGUGAGUCGCUUUAGUUACUAGUGGCUGUUUUUAACUCUCGAAAGACAGUUUGGAAAUGAAAUGGGUUCAUUAUAUUUCUGGGAACACCCCGUUACAAAUUUACUAUAGUGACUGACUUCAGUGGCCAUGAUCCAGAGAUUCUGUUUUGCAUGUAAAGACAGACUUCCAUAGGUGGGGCAGCUGUUUGCCAGCAGUUUGUGAAGAAAAUCAAGCAGUAUACACAGAAGCCAUUCUGCAUGCAGAAUGCUGCUAACUGUACACAUAGAUUGAGAAGGGCUGUAAAGAUUUUAAAACUUUCUUAAAGCUAAGUUAAAUGCUUGUUUGGAAUUCUUGCUCAUGAAUGUUGUCAAUAUUCUAUUGCUACUAUUUGCUGUUUAACAUUUACUUUGUGCCCACUAGGGAUGGACAAAUCAGGUUUUUAAUUUCAUGUGUUCAUAAAUCAAUUUCAUCCUGUUUCUGCAUUAAUCUACAGGGUCCCCCCCCAAAAAAAUGUACCAAGAUAGGCAUUAUUUUUCUAUGCAGUAUCUUAACAUUAUCUUUGAACACCUUUAAAUUUAAAAUAAACAUUUUUGUAUGCAUUUUGGUACGUUUUUAAAGCUGAAAUCUAAAAUCUGUCUCAAAAUUCAGAGAAGUGCAAAAACUGUAAGAUACCUGUAUUCUGUUCCACAUAUUAGUCUGAGAAGUGUAAAUCAGGUCAGCUUGCUUAAAAAUGGGGUUCAAGCAAAAUCUUCAAGUAUCUCUAAUGUCAAUGCAGCACUAGGCACAAUAUGGCAAAAUGAAUACAGAUUCUGCCCAGGAGACUUAAACAGUCCCCAUUGGUCUCAGAAGAUAGAGGUGGAAAGAGAGAUUCAGAAAUGCCAAAUAUACUUAGUUAGGUAAGCCCCGCCCUGCAUAAUCAUUCACAUGAUGCUGUGCACUAUUUGAAUGGCAAUGCCUCUUGAAUAUUUUAUUGGGGGGGGGGACAAAGAGACUUCAGCCCAUAGGGGUUGGCUCCUAUGAGGCACGCUUUUUCUAAUGCUCUGGUAAAAAGAAAACAUUUAUUACGAAAAGAACCCCUCAAGUGAUGCUAGCAAGCAUGCUUCACACCAAAGGCGAUUGAAAAGGCAUUCCAGAAUCACCAGCCAAUCAGAGCUGAGGGGAGAAAUUCUCAAUGCUUUUUGCCAGAUUAAUUUUUUUCUAUGGCAGUAAUGGUCCCCUUUGCAAACUCUGAAGCACACGUUUAAUGUAUUAGGAGCAAGGAAAGCAGCACCCUUCCCUUGAGACAUCUGGCUCUCCUCAUUUAAGUGUUUUCUUAACAGACUGCUUCUUCCACACUUACUUUGCUUUUGCAUGUCCUCAAACAAACUUGUUUUUGGUGAGUGCUGGAAGAUAGAACAUGUAAAUAAAGGAAGGUUUUUCCUAAACCCUUCACAUUCUGGCUGGCAUUAGUCUUCGCUUUAAAAGUUCUUUUAAAAAGAAUUCCUAUGUGCCUGUUUUACAUUACUUUUACCGUAUUGGCCCAAAUAUAAGCCGCACCAGCAAAUAAGCCUUAUCUUUAAAAUUCAUGGGGGGGGUAAGAGAAAAAAAUACAGUACCCUAAUAUAAGCCGCUCCCUUAAAAUUGUGUUGUGCUGGUGGUCCUAGGAGCUACGUGCUGCCGUGGCACCCGCCAUCUUGCCUCACCAGAAGUCCUGUAAAAGCCAAUUUUUGUAAGGUCACAAAUUUAAGCCGCACUUUAACUUUUCACAGUCGGAAUUUGUGGGGAAAGUGCGGCUUAUAUUCAGGCCAAUAUGGUACUUCAGUGGGCAGGCUUAUCUCCAAACAAGAACUUAUGAAGUAAGCCACUUUUUCUAAACAAGGAAGUUACACGUUUCUGUGUACAGAAACGUGUGUAUCCACAACUUGGGUGUACACCUCCAGGACUCUUCACACAUAACAAUCAGUGCCGGAUUUACGUAUAAGCUAACCAAGCUAUAGCUUAGGGCCCCACUCACUUGGGUCCCCCAAAAAAUUUAAAUGAAAAAAACAAUUGGAUGUACAUUUCC